UUGACUCUUCUCGCCUUCGUUCCGAGUUUCAAAACGGCAAGUUUCAGAGGAUUUCAUUAGGAUUAUAUUACUAGAGACAGAUCCUCGAAUAGAAAAGAAAAUGUCAGAACUACAGCUGCCUCCAGGAUUCCGAUUUCACCCAACCGACGAAGAGCUGGUGAUGCACUAUCUCUGCCGCAAAUGCGCCUCUCAGUCCAUCGCCGUCCCCAUCAUCGCUGAGAUCGAUCUCUACAAAUAUGAUCCUUGGGAGCUUCCCGGUUUAGCCUUGUACGGUGAGAAGGAAUGGUAUUUCUUCUCUCCAAGAGACAGAAAAUAUCCGAAUGGUUCUCGGCCGAACCGGUCAGCUGGUUCGGGUUACUGGAAAGCUACUGGAGCUGAUAAACCGAUCGGACUUCCUAAACCGGUUGGGAUUAAGAAGGCUCUGGUUUUCUACGCCGGGAAAGCUCCAAAGGGUGAGAAAACCAAUUGGAUCAUGCAUGAGUACCGUCUUGCCGACGUUGACCGAUCAUCGGCUGCUCGCAAGAAGAAGAAUAGUCUCAGGCUGGAUGAUUGGGUUCUUUGUCGGAUUUACAACAAAAAAGGAGCCAUCGAGAAGCGAGGACCACCACCAACUCCGGUUGUUUACGGCGACGAGGUCGUGGAGGAGAAGCCGAGGCUGUCGGAGAUGGGCAUGCCUCCGCCGCCGGUGAUGCCGAAUGAUUUCGUGUACUUUGACACGUCGGACUCGGUGCCAAAGCUGCAUACGACGGAGUCGAGCUGCUCGGAGCAGGUGGUGUCGCCGGAGUUCACGAGCGAGGUUCAGAGCGAGCCCAAGUGGAAGGAUUGGUCGGGUGAGAAAAGUAGCCUUGAUUUUGGGUUUAAUUACAUAGAUGCCACCGCGUUCGGGGGAGGAGGAGGGAGCAAUCAGCUGUUUCCGCUACAGGACAUGUUCAUGUACAACAUGCCCAAGCCUUAUUAGGUGAAGGCAAACACUUGUUUUUUUAUCGUCUAUGGGUAUCACGAGAUCGAUUACGGACGGUCAAUGAGUGUGCCGCCAUUAGAUAUUUAUUACCAUGAUGUUUGUUGUUCAGUGUUACUUUUAUUUUCUAAGCUGUCAGAUUACGGGAAAUCUCUAAUCGGAUGGCGGUCGAUGUGUCAUUGUACUAGUGUUGUUUGGUAGAAGAAUCCACAUGUCUUUUCUUUUUUGGGCUUUAGUGGGGCAUAAAAGUCAAAAGCUAAGGAUAUUUGUUAUUAUCUCCUUCGUAAUAAUCAAUUAAAUAUUUCUUGAUAUA
This is an RNA transcript of Brassica rapa (field mustard), 1271 nucleotides long. It is a transcript of the gene named NAC domain-containing protein 2, with no coding region annotated. The record is from RefSeq and is a predicted model, not a curated record. Lineage: Eukaryota; Viridiplantae; Streptophyta; Magnoliopsida; Brassicales; Brassicaceae.